GUGCAGUGUGUGUGAGGGUGUUGUGUGUGUAUGUGAGGGGUGCAGUGUGUGUGAGGUGUGUAGUGUGUUAGUGAUGGGUGCUGUGUUUGCGUGAGGGUGCUAUGUGGGUAAGGGUGCUGUGUGUGUGUGCUGUGUGUGAUUGGGUGCUGUGUUUGCGUGAGGGUGCCAUGUGCGUAUGAGGAAGCUGUGUGUGUCAGGGGUGCAGUGUGUGUGUGGUGUGUUGUAAGUGUUAGGGGUGCAGUGAGUGUGUGCUGUACGUGUCAGGGGUGCAGUGAGUGUGUGCUGUGCGUGUCAGGGGUGCAGUGAGUGUGUGUGUGCGAGGGUGCUGUAAGUGUUAGGGGUGCAGUGUGUGUGUGCUUUGAGUGUCGGGGUGCAGUGUGUGUGUGUGUGUGAGGGUGCUGUAAGUGUUAGGGGUGCAGUGUGUGUCUGCUGUGAGUGUCAGGGGUGCAGUGUGUGUGUGUGAGUGAGGGUGCUGUGAGUCUCAGGGGUGCAGUGUGUGUAUGUGAGUGAGUGAGGGUGCUGUGAGUGUUAGGGGUGCAGUGUGUGUGUGUGUGUGUGUGUGUGUGUGCUGUG
Molecule: long non-coding RNA, 573 nt
Filed under: Pelobates cultripes (western spadefoot toad)
Lineage: Eukaryota; Metazoa; Chordata; Amphibia; Anura; Pelobatidae
Source: RNAcentral